Non-coding RNA from Hordeum vulgare subsp. vulgare (domesticated barley), 95 nucleotides. The record is from Rfam. Lineage: Eukaryota; Viridiplantae; Streptophyta; Magnoliopsida; Poales; Poaceae.
GUCGUAGCGGUGAUGACAAAUUUGUGGACUAGAGUUUCUGAUGCCGCCUCUUCAGCAGCAUCUGCAGACAACCCCUUGGCUGUCUGAGCUCCCAG